Coregonus clupeaformis (lake whitefish) is the source of this 332-nucleotide long non-coding RNA. RefSeq lists it as uncharacterized. The record is from RefSeq and is a predicted model, not a curated record. Lineage: Eukaryota; Metazoa; Chordata; Actinopteri; Salmoniformes; Salmonidae. The transcript is spliced from 3 exons.
GUUCAUUUUCUGUGUCAAUGUGGGUUGAUGACCUCAUCGUGAUCCAACUUGGAAAACAUGAAUUCAAGACCACUGGACCAGCCAUUCGUUAAUAUGAAGGUAGACGUAGCUGAGGCAAGAUGUCAGCCCGAGGAGGGAAGAAGAAGACCACCAAACUGUCCCGCUCCGCCAGAGCAGGGGUCAUCUUUCCUGUGGGGAGGAUGAUGAGGUAUCUACGCACAGGGACCCACAAGUACCGCAUCGGCAUGGGGGCACCCGUCUACAUGGCAGCCGUCAUAGAGUACCUGGCAGCUGAGAUUUUGGAGUUGGCAGGAAAUGCAGCAAGGGACAAC